This 253-nucleotide ribosomal RNA is filed under the name uncultured bacterium. RNAcentral describes it as "partial 16S ribosomal RNA". It matches the Rfam family "Bacterial small subunit ribosomal RNA", at positions 524 to 776 of the family's 1533-position model. The record is from RNAcentral.
UACAGAGGGUGCGAGCGUUAAUCGGAAUUACUGGGCGUAAAGCGCACGUAGGUGGCGACGUAAGUCGGGUGUGAAAGCCCCGGGCUCAACCUGGGAAUUGCAUUCGAGACUGCAUUGCUGGAGUACGGAAGAGGAAGGCGGAAUUCCUGGUGUAGCGGUGAAAUGCGCAGAUAUCAGGAGGAACACCGAUGGCGAAGGCAGGUCUCUGGGCAUUAACUGACGCUGAGGAGCGAAAGCAUGGGGAGCGAACAGG